GCAGGGUGACCAGAACACAGGAGCCAAUAAUAAAGGUUCCGUUGGAAGAUUUGCAUGGAGGAGUGUGAGAUCCAACAGGUCUCCUUGGGAUGAUAGUCCUUCUAUAGGUGAACUCAGUGGGCAACCAGAGCAAGAUGUGUCAUGGCAUAAACCUUGGUGAGAACAAGUGGACACAGAGGUAAG
Austrofundulus limnaeus is the source of this 183-nucleotide long non-coding RNA. RefSeq lists it as uncharacterized. Lineage: Eukaryota; Metazoa; Chordata; Actinopteri; Cyprinodontiformes; Rivulidae. The record is from RefSeq and is a predicted model, not a curated record. The transcript has 3 exons.